CAAAUGGUAGCUUAAACUAAAGCAUUCGACUUACACUCGAACGAUACUAACACAGUCCUUUUGA
This 64-nucleotide transfer RNA is filed under the name Eunectes notaeus (yellow anaconda). RNAcentral describes it as "transfer RNA-Val". It matches the Rfam family "tRNA". Rfam says of the family: Transfer RNA (tRNA) molecules are approximately 80 nucleotides in length. Their secondary structure includes four short double-helical elements and three loops (D, anti-codon, and T loops). Lineage: Eukaryota; Metazoa; Chordata; Lepidosauria; Squamata; Boidae. The record is from RNAcentral.